GACGAACGUUGGCGGCGUGCUUAAUACAUGCAAGUCAACUGAAGCAGUGGUAGCAAUAUCGCUGUGGAGGUGGCGCACGGGUGAGUAACACGUAGGUAAUCUGCCUUCAGGUCUGGCAUAACUCCGGGAAACCGGGGCUAAUAGCAGAUGAUGCAGCGGCUCGACAUCGAGACAGUUGUUAAAGCUAUGGCGCCUGAAGAUGAGCCUGCGUCUGAUUAGCUAGUUGGCGGGGUAACGGCCCACCAAGGCAACGAUCAGUAGCUGGUCUGAGAGGAUGAUCAGCAACACUGGAACUGAGACACGGUCCAGACUCCUACGGGAGGCAGCAGUAAGGAAUAUUGCUCAAUGGGAGAAAUCCUGAAGCAGCGACGCCGCGGGAGGGACGAAGGGCUUUUGCUUGUAAACCUCUGUAGUGAGAGAAAAAAAUCCCAAUCUUUGGGACAUGAUGGUAUCUCAAAAGUAAGCCCCGGCUAACUACGUG
This 481-nucleotide ribosomal RNA is filed under the name uncultured bacterium. Its description in RNAcentral is "partial 16S ribosomal RNA". It matches the Rfam family "Bacterial small subunit ribosomal RNA", at positions 28 to 507 of the family's 1533-position model. The record is from RNAcentral.